AGCGCAGGCGGGAAGACAAGUUGGAAGUGAAAUCUAUGGGCUCAACCCAUAAAUUGCUUUCAAAACUGUUUUUCUUGAGUAGUGCAGAGGUAGGCGGAAUUCCCGGUGUAGCGGUGGAAUGCGUAGAUAUCGGGAGGAACACCAGUGGCGAAGGCGGCCUACUGGGCACCAACUGACGCUGAGGCUCGAAAGUGUGGGUAGCAAACA
Molecule: ribosomal RNA, 207 nt
Filed under: uncultured bacterium
Lineage: Bacteria
Description: partial 16S ribosomal RNA
Rfam family: Bacterial small subunit ribosomal RNA
Source: RNAcentral